RNAcentral lists this ribosomal RNA (427 nucleotides) under Rothia sp. SS06. RNAcentral describes it as "bacterial SSU rRNA". It matches the Rfam family "Bacterial small subunit ribosomal RNA", at positions 51 to 494 of the family's 1533-position model. The record is from RNAcentral. Lineage: Bacteria; Bacillati; Actinomycetota; Actinomycetes; Micrococcales; Micrococcaceae.
ACACAUGCAGUCGAACGAUGAAGCCUAGCUUGCUAGGUGGAUUAGUGGCGAACGGGUGAGUAAUACGUGAGUACCUACCUUUGACUCUGGGAUAAGCCUGGGAAACUGGGUCUAAUACCGGAUACGACCAAUCUCCGCAUGGGUGUUGGUGGAAAGCGUUAUGGAGUGGUUUUAGAUGGGCUCACGGCCUAUCAGCUUGUUGGUGAGGUAAUGGCUUACCAAGGCGACGACGGGUAGCCGGCCUGAGAGGGUGACCGGCCACACUGGGACUGAGACACGGCCCAGACUCCUACGGGAGGCAGCAGUGGGGAAUAUUGCACAAUGGGCGCAAGCCUGAUGCAGCGCCGCCGCGGAGGAUGAGGCCCUUCGGGUUGUAACCCUCUGUAAGCAUCAAGAGCAAAAGUACGGNRGGGGCGGAGAAACCGCC